CUGGAGAACGGUAGAGAGGAGGAUCACAGACUACUGGAGAACGGUAGAGAGGAGGAUCACAGACUACUGGAGAAUGGUAGAGAGGAGGAUCAUAGACUACUGGAGAACGGUAUAGAGGAGGAUCAUAGACUACUGGAGAACGGUAGAGAGGAGGAUCACAGACUACUGGAGAACAGUAGAGAGGAGGAUCACAGACUACUGGAGAACAGUAGAGAGGAGGAUCAUAGACUACUGGAGAACGGUAGAGAGGAGGAUCAUAGACUACUGGAGAACGGUAGAGAGGAGGAUCAUAGACUACUGGAGAACGGUAGAGAGGAGAACCACAGACUACUGGAGAAUGGUAGAGAGGAGAACCAUAAACUACUGGAGAACGGUAGAGAGGAGGAUCAUAGACUACUGGAGAAUGGUAGAGAGGAGGAUCAUAGACUACUGGAGAACGGUAGAGAGGAGAACCACAGACUACUGGAGAAUGGUAGAGAGGAGAACCAUAAACUACUGGAGAACGGUAGAGAGGAGGAUCAUAGACUACUGGAGAACGGUAGAGAGGAGAACCACAGACUACUGGAGAAUGGUAGAGAGGAGAACCAUAAACUACUGGAGAAUGGUAGAGAGGAGGAUCAUAGACUACUGGAGAAUGGUAGAGAGGAGGAUCAUAGACUACUGGAGAAUGGUAGAGAGGAGGAUCACAGACUACUGGAGAAUGGUAGAGAGGAGGAUCACAGACUACUGGAGAACGGUAGAGAGGAGAACCACAGACUACUGGAGAAUGGUAGAGAGGAGAACCAUAAACUACUGGAGAACGGUAGAGAGGGGGAUCAUAGACUACUGGAGAAUGGUAGAGAGGAGGAUCAUAGACUACUGGAGAAUGGUAGAGAGGAGGAUCAUAGACUACUGGAGAAUGGUAGAGAGGAGAACCAUAAACUACUGGAGAACGGUAGAGAGGAGGAUCAUAGACUACUGGAGAAUGGUAGAGAGGAGGAUCACAGACUACUGGAGAACGGUAGAGAGGAUGUUCACAGACUACUGGAGAAUGGUAGAGAGGAGGAUCAUAGACUCCUGGAGAAUGGUAGAGAGGAGGAUCACAGACUACUAGAGAAUGGUAGAGAGGAGGAUCAUAGACUCCUGGAGAAUGGUAGAGAGGAGGGGACACUAAGGACAGAACACGUGUUGUACUGGUAGAGAGGAGUUUGAGAAGAAUCUCUUGGUUUGGAGGGGGGGUGCUAAAACGGCUGUGUGAAUCACAGAAACAGUCAGGAGGAAGUGUUCUAUAGGAAGCACUGAUACAUCACAUGGUAUAAUGUUCAGACACUAUCAGAGGAGCUUAUUGUUCAUGUAACAUCUCUCAAAAUCUGAAACAACUGUGUGAAUACAAUAUGAGGAACCCAAAUUCCUGUGGACAUUGGUUAAUAAUGAGUAGGGAGGGGAUUCCCUGUAAAAAUCAUCUCCUUUUCCUGUUGUUCUACUUUCAACUACAGUAGAGCUGUAUGCUGUCUCCUAGUGUCUGGUAGAGAGUCAGAGCUUUCAACUACAUUAUCUGUCUGCUGUCUCCUAGUGUCUGGUAGAGAGUCAGAGCUUUCAACUACAGUAGCUGUCUGCUGUCUCCUAGUGUCUGGUAGAGAGUCAGAGCUUUCAACUACAAUAUCUGUCUGCUGUCUCCUAGUGCCUGGUAGAGAGUCAGAGCUUUCAACUACAGUAGCUGUCUGCUGUCUCCUAGUGUCUGGUAGAGAGUCAGAGCUUUCAACUACAAUAUCUGUCUGCUGUCUCCUAGUGCCUGGUAGAGAGUCAGAGCUUUCAACUACAGUAGAGUGGUCUGCUGUCUCCUAGUGUCUGGUAGAGAGUCAGAGCUUUCAACUACAGUAGAGCUGUCUGCUGUCUCCUAGUGUCUGGUAGAGAGUCAGAGCUUUCAACUACAGUAGCUGUCUGCUGUCUCCUAGUGUCUGGUAGAGAGUCAGAGCUUUCAACUACAGUAGAGUGGUCUGCUGUCUCCUAGUGUCUGGUAGAGAGUCAGAGCUUUCAACUACAGUAGAGUGGUCUGCUGUCUCCUAGUGUCUGGUAGAGAGUCAGAGCUUUCAACUACAGUAGCUGUCUGCUGUCUCCUAGUGUCUGGUAGAGAGUCAGAGCUUUCAACUACAAUAGCUGUCUGCUGUCUCCUAGUGUCUGGUAGAGAGUCAGAGCUUUUUAUCUGUCAUUCACAUGCAUGCAUGUACACAAACACACACACAUAC
This is a long non-coding RNA of Oncorhynchus tshawytscha (Chinook salmon), 2225 nucleotides long. The record is from Ensembl. Lineage: Eukaryota; Metazoa; Chordata; Actinopteri; Salmoniformes; Salmonidae.